UUGCAUCCAAGUAAUUGAAGUUGC
Molecule: non-coding RNA, 24 nt
Filed under: Arabidopsis thaliana (thale cress)
Lineage: Eukaryota; Viridiplantae; Streptophyta; Magnoliopsida; Brassicales; Brassicaceae
Source: RNAcentral